UACGGAGGGUGCGAGCGUUGUUCGGAAUCACUGGGCGUAAAGCGCGUGUAGGCGGUCUGGCAAGUCUGGUGUGAAAGCCCGGGGCUCACCCCCGGAAGUGCACUGGAAACUGCCAGACUCGAGUCCCGGAGAGGAGAGUAGAAUUCCUGGUGUAGCGGUGAAAUGCGUAGAUAUCAGGAGGAAUACCGGUGGCGAAGGUGGCUCUCUGGACGGUGAUUGACGUUGAGACGCGAAAGCGUGGGGAGCAAACAGG
Molecule: ribosomal RNA, 253 nt
Filed under: uncultured bacterium
Lineage: Bacteria
Description: partial 16S ribosomal RNA
Rfam family: Bacterial small subunit ribosomal RNA
Source: RNAcentral